RNAcentral lists this ribosomal RNA (541 nucleotides) under Colletotrichum sp. Its description in RNAcentral is "eukaryotic LSU rRNA". The stretch from base 184 to 337 matches the Rfam family "5.8S ribosomal RNA". The record is from RNAcentral. Lineage: Eukaryota; Fungi; Ascomycota; Sordariomycetes; Glomerellales; Glomerellaceae.
AGGGAUCAUUACUGAGUUUACGCUCUAUAACCCUUUGUGAACAUACCUAUAACUGUUGCUUCGGCGGGUAGGGUCUCCGCGACCCUCCCGGCCUCCCGCCUCCGGGCGGGUCGGCGCCCGCCGGAGGAUAACCAAACUCUGAUUUAACGACGUUUCUUCUGAGUGGUACAAGCAAAUAAUCAAAACUUUUAACAACGGAUCUCUUGGUUCUGGCAUCGAUGAAGAACGCAGCGAAAUGCGAUAAGUAAUGUGAAUUGCAGAAUUCAGUGAAUCAUCGAAUCUUUGAACGCACAUUGCGCCCGCCAGCAUUCUGGCGGGCAUGCCUGUUCGAGCGUCAUUUCAACCCUCAAGCUCUGCUUGGUGUUGGGGCCCUACAGCUGAUGUAGGCCCUCAAAGGUAGUGGCGGACCCUCCCGGAGCCUCCUUUGCGUAGUAACUUUACGUCUCGCACUGGGAUCCGGAGGGACUCUUGCCGUAAAACCCCCCAAUUUUCCAAAGGUUGACCUCGGAUCAGGUAGGAAUACCCGCUGAACUUAAGCAUA